GUCGCCGUUCGCGGUGAGGGCGAGCGUGGCGUUCCCGGCGCCGCUCCCGUCGUUCGUGACGGUGACGGCGACG
This 73-nucleotide transfer RNA is filed under the name Halocalculus aciditolerans. Its description in RNAcentral is "tRNA-Gly". The record is from RNAcentral. Lineage: Archaea; Methanobacteriati; Methanobacteriota; Halobacteria; Halobacteriales; Halobacteriaceae.